UACGUAGGUGGCAAGCGUUGUCCGGAAUUAUUGGGCGUAAAGAGCGCGCAGGCGGUCGUUCAAGUCGAGUGUGAAAGCCCCCGGCUCAACCUGGGAAUGGCAGUGGAAACUAGGGGACUUGAAUCUGGCAGAGGGGGGUGGAAUUCCACGUGUAGCAGUGAAAUGCGUAGAGAUGUGGAGGAACACCGAUGGCGAAGGCAGCCCCCUGGGCUGAGAUUGACGCUCAGGCACGAAAGCGUGGGGAGCAAACAGG
RNAcentral lists this ribosomal RNA (253 nucleotides) under uncultured bacterium. RNAcentral's name for it is "partial 16S ribosomal RNA". It matches the Rfam family "Bacterial small subunit ribosomal RNA", at positions 524 to 776 of the family's 1533-position model. The record is from RNAcentral.